GAUGAAGAACGUAGCGAAAUGCGAUAAGUAGUGUGAAUUGCAGAAUUCAGUGAAUCAUCGAGUCUUUGAACGCACAUUGCGCCCCAUGGUAUUCCGGGGGGCAUGCCUGUCCGAGCGUCAUUGCUGCCCUCAAGCACGGCUUGUGUGUUGGGCCUCCGUCCUCCUCCCGGGGGACGGGCCCGAAAGGCAGCGGCGGCACCGCGUCCGGUCCUCGAGCGUAUGGGGCUUCGUCACCCGCUCUUGUAGGCCCGGCCGGCGCUUGCCGACACAUCAAUCUUUUUUCCAGGUUGACCUCGGAUCAGGUAGGGAUACCCGCUGAACUUAAGCAUAUCAAUAAGCGGAGGA
RNAcentral lists this unclassified non-coding RNA (345 nucleotides) under soil metagenome. RNAcentral describes it as "partial contains 5.8S ribosomal RNA, internal transcribed spacer 2, and large subunit ribosomal RNA". The stretch from base 1 to 120 matches the Rfam family "5.8S ribosomal RNA", at positions 35 to 154 of the family's 154-position model. The record is from RNAcentral.